This is a long non-coding RNA of Nomascus leucogenys (northern white-cheeked gibbon), 3797 nucleotides long. RefSeq lists it as uncharacterized. The record is from RefSeq and is a predicted model, not a curated record. The transcript has 3 exons. Lineage: Eukaryota; Metazoa; Chordata; Mammalia; Primates; Hylobatidae.
CUGUUUUUUUUAAUUGAGGUUAAAGUCACAUAACACAAAAUUAACCAUUUAAAAAUAUACAAUUCAGUGGCACUUACACAUUCACAACAUUGUGCCACCAUCAUCUCUAAUUCCACAACAUUUUCAUCACUCCAAAAGGAAACCCCUCACCCAUUAAAAAAUCAUCCCUCAUCCUCCUUGCCUUGUUUCUAUGGAUUUAUCUAUCUCUCUGUUUCUGAUUUCUAACUUAGAUUGUGGCACCAGUACAUAUUUUGUAUAACUUAAAUCUUUUAAAUUUAUUGACACUUGUUUUAUGGUCCAAGAUACAGUCCAUCUUGAAACAUAUUCAUGUGCACACGAAGAGCAUCUUAUUCUGUUGUUGUUGGGUGAGUGUUCUAGAAAUAUCUUCAAUUCAUAUUGGUUGGUAGUGUUGUUCAAAUCUUCUAGUGAUUUGCUGAUUUUCUGGCUACUCGUUCUAUUAAUACUGAGAGAGAGGAACUGAAAUCUGACUGUAAUUGUAGAGUUGUCUAUUUCUCCAUUGCAAUUUUAUCAGUUUUUGCUUCAUUGAUUGUGAAACUCUGUUAUUAGGUACAGAAAUGUCUGCACUUAUAGCCUCUUGACUGGUUGAGCCGUUUGCACCAUAAAAUGAGUUUGUUUAUCCCUGGUAAUAUUUUUUUCCAAAAUCGGCUGUGUGUGUUAUUAACAUAGCCCCUCCAGCUUUCUUUUCAUUCGUGUUAGAAAAUGGUAUAUUUUUUCCAUUCUUCUCCUUUUAACCUAUUUAUGUCUUAAUAUUUAAAGCGGCUUUCUUGUAGGUAGCCCAUAGUUGGGUUUUGCUUUUUUAUAUAGUCUGACAAAUUCUUUUAACUGAGGGCGUUCUGGUUAUUUAAAUUUCAUGUGAUUAUUCUAUGAUUAAGUCUAAGGUUUUCAUCUUGCUGUGUAUUUUCUGUUGGUCUCACCUGUCUUUUAUUCUUUUUCUUUUCUCUGCUUUCCUGGGGGACAAUCGAAUACUUGUUCUGAUUUCCAUGUAUCUCCUUUCUUGGCUCAUGCAGCAUACAUCUGUAUUCUGGCAUUUCUGUGGCUGUUUUGGUGUGUAGUGUAUGACAUCACUUCACACAGAGCGUAGAAACCUUCCAUUUGUUACUGACCUCCCAAUCUUUAUGCUAUUGUUGUCGUACAUGUUUUACGCGUUAUAGACCCCGUGCUACAUUGUUAUUAUUGUUUAAGCAGCCAAUUAUCUUUUAGAGUGAUUUUUAGAAUAAGGAAAAUUGGACACACUUUCCCCUGCAGUUUACGUGUUUGAGGUUCUCCAUGCACCUGUGUGGAUCCACACUUCCAGUGGGCGUGGCUUCCUUCUGCCUGCAGGACUGACUCCGAGAGCUCCUGCAGGGCGCAGCCACUGAGGACGCCUUCCUUCAGCUCUCGAGUGUUUGAAGAAACAUCUUUAUCUCACCUUCAUUAAGAAUCCUAUUUUCUGGGUAUAGAAUUCCAGGUUGGCAGUGUGUCCUCUCAGCCUUCACAGAGGUCCCUGCGCUGGGCUCUCAGCUACACUGCUCCUGCAGGAAGCUGCGCCAUUCACCUCUGUCACUCUGCACACAGCACGCAGUGCUCUCUGGCUGAUGCUAAGAUGCUCUUCUUGCCACUGGUGUUAAAGCGUUUGGUUAUGGUGUGCCCUUGAUAUAGUUUCAUUCCUUUCUAGUUCUUGUGCUUGAGACUCAUUCGGCUUCUUGGAUCUGUGGGUUUGUAUUUAUUUUUAUCAAAUUUGGAAAAUUUUCAGUCAUUAGUUAUUCAAAUUAUUGUUUAUUCUACUUUCUCCUCUUCUCCCAGGAUUCCAGUUACACCUACAUUCAUGCACUUAAAACUGUGUGACUUUAAUUUUUGUUCUUUUUAAUUUCAUUUUCUCUUCAUUUUUAAAGUUUCUGUUGCUAUUUCUCUAAGUUCUCCAAUGUUUUCUCCUGCCAUCCUUGUCAUUCACCCCACCUGGUGCCUUCUUCAUCUCCCGUGUUGUGGUUUUCACCCUGAAAGUUUGGGUUUGUCUUCCUUUUAUAUCUUCACUCUUUCUACUUAACUUUCUGAACAUAUAGAAUACAGUGAUAACUUGUCUUCCGAUUAUAAUAUCUGUGCCCAUGGAUCAAUUUGCUCUUGAUUCAUCAAUUAUUCUUCCUAUUUUCUUGCUUUUCUAUACAGCAAUAUUUUAUUGGUUGCCAGACAUUUGGGCUUUGUCUUCCUUUGGGGUCUGGUGGGUAUUUCUGCAUUCCUGUAUGUGUUCUUCAGGCUUGGGCUCUGUUCUGGGACACUUAUCUUCUCAAAGGAAAUAGCUGGGUCCUUUCAGGCCUGCUUUCUAGGGUCUCUCAGGCAGGUCUGGAGCGGGGCUCACCCAGGCCUAAUGACCCCCGACUGAGGCAAGGCCCUGUGUCUGCUUUGCCCGAUACCCCAGGAAUCAUCAGGUUUUCCAAUCCGGCUGGUGAAGCAGGUGCUGUUCCCACCCUAGAACCCUUUUGGGUGGUUCUUCCCCAGCAUGGGGUAGCUUCCCCUCAAGAAUGUGCUGAUCAGUCCUUGGCAGGACACUCCGGGGCCUGCCCCAAAGGUCUUGGGGUUUUCUCUCUGUGCAGCCCUCUCCUGCCCUCCCCUUCCUGGGGCUCUGUCCCAUGAGUGGCAGUGCCUGGCUCUCCCCAGGCUCUCGACUCCAUCCUGUGACUCCACCCGAGCUGCCGUGGUGAGCUCAGACCUUAGCUCGGGGACCACUGCCUGUCAUCGCUGAUGUCUAGUGUUCUCAAAGUCUUUGUUUCAUACACUGUUUGUUUUUUCGUUGUUUCAGAUGGGGGAGUAUCUGGUCCCUGUUACUCCAUUUCAGCUAGAAGCAGAAGUCAGCUGGCUUGUAAGCUAACAUGUAAAGACAUCCUCGAUACGUCUUAGAGGUUGAAGAAGCUGGAAUAAUGCAGUAUGUACAGUGUAUUAUGGUCAUAAAAACUAAAUCUGCGCUUGAAGGGGAUUUGCUGAAGCAAUUCCACAGCAUCAGCUUCACCCAGCAGGCUGGGUCUGAUCAGCUAACUGAAAUUCUGCAAGGACAACGUACGACAUCCACAGUAACAGACACGGCUCAGGCCAUCAUCCAUCUCUUUCAGUAGCAACGAGCACUCUGUGGGUUCCGUGACCGCUGACUGCUGCGCAACUCUGACCCGCAGGCUCAGGCACCUGACGGAGGGACGGUUGGGGCCUGGAGUCAGAAGCCCCAGGGCCGCGCAGGGCUUACGGCUGGGCUGCCGCUGUUCUCCCCAGUGUUCAUCCAGGGAUGCUCGAAGAAACGCUUUCGGAGCCUUUCUCGAAAAUCAGCAUCACACGGGCCUCAUUCUGUGAUGGCAUGUGAUAAAAUUGGAAACUAACAAGCCCCACCCCAGGCACUGUAUCCAGGCGGAAAUUCAAAAGCCCUCUCCUACUUGACUCACUAGUGGAACAGAAACCCACGUUGAAGCGUUGGGCUGUUCACACGCUGCAGCUGGGGGGCCCAGGACAAGGUGGGGAGGGAGGCAGAGAGUACAGGCACGAGGCCGCCGCCCCGGAGCAGCCACAGCAGGGCCCUGGGCUGCCCUCGCACCGAUGCAGGGAGCUCCACAAAGAUGCAGCAGAACACAAGGAAAGCCGGAGUCAGGCAGAAAUCCGUGUUGCUGGGGUCUGUAAACCAAAGCCAGCUCCUUGAAAAGGUCCGCUGCGUUGGAGCCUGUGAUUCUGAUUUAGAAGAGAUGGCGUCGCCAGCCUGGCCAACAUGGUGAAACCCCAUCUCCACUAAAAAUACAAAAAUUAGCCGGGCAUGGUGGCGCGUG